ACAGGGUAUUAAAUGGUUCGUUCGUGGGGUCUCUGAUCAGCAGCCAGCUUAUUCUUUCAUGAUUAACUUUGGAUUUUUUGGGUACAUUUUUUAGUUUUAUUUUUUCUACGUAUUUAGUCACAUAUAUAGUAUUUAUAUAUGGUAGGUACGGUAUCAUUGUUAUCUAGUCGUUUUAAUUAGUUUGCUUGUUUUAUAUUUUUAAUAUAUAUAUACAUGUAUGUAUAUGAUGUAUUUAACUUUCACAAUUAAGUUAUUUUGUAUGGUUCAAUUUUAUAUAAGAGAUAAUGACCUUAUCAUUAUUUUAAAUAAAAUAUAAAUCUAAGAGAGAAAUAACAAUUGUAAUUUAUCAUUAAUGUAAUUUGCUUAAUGGAUUUGAAUUAAAAGCCC
Molecule: long non-coding RNA, 387 nt
Filed under: Carica papaya (papaya)
Lineage: Eukaryota; Viridiplantae; Streptophyta; Magnoliopsida; Brassicales; Caricaceae
Description: long non-coding RNA (CPAP_LNC013468)
Source: RNAcentral